Molecule: long non-coding RNA, 602 nt
Organism: Musa acuminata AAA Group (dessert banana)
Lineage: Eukaryota; Viridiplantae; Streptophyta; Magnoliopsida; Zingiberales; Musaceae
Exons: 2
Source: RefSeq, a predicted model, not a curated record
CUCCUUCUCCACAGCGACCGCGACUGCGGCGUUUUCCUUGGCGAAAGGCGGCAGCAGCGGUGGCAUCUUCCUCCGUCGAGCUCUUAUCGCUGCGGCGUUUUCCUCGGCAAACGGUGGAUGCUGCGGUUUCCUCUCCGUCGGCGAACGGUGACAGCGCCCGGUGGAUUUACGUGAUUGGUCGGGGAAUGUUAUCCGAUACAGAUGAUUAGUUGGAAGAUUUCAACUUCCUUUUGGUUGGAAGCAGAUACAGAAAUUAUAUUUAGUUCGGAUGCGCUUGAUUUGAGGUAGAAGAGGCAUUUGGACUUGGAGAGGGCAGCAAUAAAACUACUUUUCUUGUGUUUUUCUGCAAACAGUGUGUGAUACUGCUUCAAAAUAUAAUGUUUUUGGUGCAAAAGAGGCUCUUUUGCAUUCUCCCAUGUAACAAGUCCACCAUCCAUCUUUCUUCCUAUGAAAUCUGCAGUCUGUUUAGUAGCUUUUCCACCGCCAAAGACCAAAUUUCAGAUCAUAAAUCCAACUUUACCGUGGUCAAUUCCCUUCAAUCAUGUGAACUUUCCUCAGAAAAGGCUGCAAAAACAGCCAAGUGUCGCACCUGUCACACAAAA